RNAcentral lists this long non-coding RNA (1722 nucleotides) under Homo sapiens (human). RNAcentral's name for it is "HSALNT0149876". The record is from RNAcentral. Lineage: Eukaryota; Metazoa; Chordata; Mammalia; Primates; Hominidae.
UACUUGCUGCUGUCAGAUUCAAACAAACAAAAAUUACUCAGAAAAACAAAGCUUUAUUCAGAGCCAUGUUGUUAUGGGUUGAAUUGCAUCUCCCUAAAAUUCAUAUGUUUAAGUCCUAGCCCCCAGUACCUCAGAAUGUGACCCUAUUUGGGAAUGAGUUUGUUGCAGACAUAAUUAGUUAAGAUGAGGUCAUAGUGGAAUAGGGUGUGUCCUACUUCGGUAUGACUGGUGUUCUUAUAAAAAGGGGAAGUUUGGACAUAGAGACACAAAUACACAAGGAAAGCUCCAUGGAAGAUAAAGGCAGAGAUUUACAAGCCAAGGAAUGUCAAAGACGGCCAGCACACCACCAGAAGCUAGCAGAGAGGUAUGGAACAGAUUCUUCUUCACAACCUCAGAGGGAAAACCCUGCUGAUACCUGGAUUUCAAACUCCUGGCCUCCAGAACGAGACGGGGUUUUACCACGUUAGCCGGGCUGGUCUUGAACUCCUGACCUCAGGUGAUCCACCCGCCUCGAUCGCCCAUUAUUAACAAUCAAAUGGCUGUUCUUCAUGGUACUGGUACAAAAACAGAUAUAUACACCAAUGGAACAGAACAGAGGCCUCAGAAACAACACCACACAUCUACAACCAUCUGAUCUUUGACAAACCUGACAAAAACAAGCAAUGAAGAAAGGAUUCCCUAUUUAAUAAAUGGUGUUGGGAAAACUGGCUAGCCAUAUGCAGAAAACUGAAACUGGACCCCUUCCUUACACCUUAUACAAAAAUUAACUCAAGAUGGACUAAAGAUUUAAACAUAAGACCUAAAACAAUAAAAACCCUAGAAGAAAACCUAGGCAUUACCAUUCAGGACAUAGACAUGGGCAAAGACUUAAUGACUAAAACACCAAAAGCAAUGGCAACAAAAGCCAAAACUGACAAAUGAGAUCUAAUUAAACUAAAGAGCUCCUGCAUAGCAAAAGAAACUAUCAUCAGAGUGAACAGGCAACCUACAGAAUGGAAGAAAAUUUUUGCAAUCUAUCCAUCUAACAAAGGGCUAAUAUCCAGAAUCUACAAGGAACUUAAACAAAUUUACAAGAAAAAACAACCCCAUCAAAAAGUGGGCAAAGGAUAUGAACAGACACUUUUCAAAAGAAGACAUUUAUGCAGCCAACAAACAUGAAAAAAAGCUCAUCAUCACGUCAUUAGAGAAAUGCAAAUCAAAACCACAAUGAGAUACCAUCUCACGCCAGUUAGAAUGGCGAUCAUUAAAAUGUCAGGAAACAACAGAUGCUGGAGAGGAUGUGGAGAAAUAGGAAUGCUUUUACACUGCUGGUGGGACUGUAAACUAGUUCAACCAUUGUGGAAGAGAGUGUGGCAGUUCCUCAAGGAUCUAGAACUAGAAAUACCAUUUGACCCAGAAAUCCCAUUACUGGGUAUAUACCAUAAGGAUUAUAAACGAUUCUACUAUAAAGACACACGCACAAGUAUGUUUAUUGCAGCACUAUUCACAAUAGCAAAUAAUUGGAACCAACCGAAAUGCCCAUCAAUGAUAGACUAGAUAAAGAAAAUGUGGUACAUAUACACCAUGGAAUACUAUGUAGCCACAAAAAAGAGUGAGUUUAUGUCCUUUGCAGGGACAUUGAUGAAGCUGGAAGCCAUCAUUCUCAGCAAACUAACACAAGAACAGAAAACCAAACACUGCAUGUUCUCACUCGUAAGUGGGAAUUGAAUAAUGAGAACAUAU